UUCACUGAAUUAACUCUCAAACCCUUAGGCGCGCCUUUUUGGCUGAAAGUUUUCACUUCCUUCGCUUCUUCUUCUUUGUUUACUGCUAAGAUCUUACUUAGUGCUGCUCAUGUUGAUGUUGUUUUAUUUUGGAUCAUGAUCUGCAGCAGCAGUUACUCAUCUACUUGGAUAAUGGAUAUGGAAUAGGUGGAAGUGCUAUUCAUUUGGCUGCUGCUGGAGGGAUAGUUCGAUGUUCUUAAGUACUUGAUUGAGGAGAUGAAACUUAUGUGGAUGUGGAAAGUAAUUGAGGGCAUAACGAUAUCAUACCUUUGUUACUUCCAAAAGGUAUUAAUGUGGAUGUUUCGAAUGGUAAUGGCUCACCGCUACAAUAUGCUGCCGUUGCUAGCAAAUAUGAUAUUGUUAAAGUUCUUCUGGAUCAUGGUGCCAAUCCAAAUCUAGUCUUGUAUGAUACAUUUACUCCACUUCAUUCAUCUAUAUAUGUCCAAUCUUGGCAAUGCGCGGAAGCAUUACUGAAGGAAUGUGCUGAUCCAAAUGGUGGAUCAGAUGGAACAAGAGCUCUGCCACUAGCAGCUGUAAUGGGGGUAGUAAAAAUCAUCAGGCUGGUGCAGAUCCAUAUGUUACAAAUAUACACGGACUAAAGCCAAUUGAAGUCUCAGCUUAUAAAGAUAAUCACCGAGGUGUUGAAAUUCUUUUUCCUGUGACUUCUCCUUUUCCAUCAUAUGUUGAGUGGAGAGUAAAUGGAAUAAUUGAAGCAUGCAAAUUCUAAGGAGUUUGACAAUAAGGCGGCUUUUGUUGAGGCAAAAUCAAGGGGCACAAGUGCAUUCCAUAGAAAGGAGUAUUGGCUAGCAGUGUAUUGGUAGACAGAGGGAAUAUUCACAUUUAUAUUAGAAAUGUGCAUUUGCCAUAUCAUGAUCUAGAAACGAAAUAGGGUACAAGCCUUCAUUUUUCUUUUGGCAAAGAAAGCAUUAAGAGGUUUUGGGGAGAUUCUUGUUCAAGUGAAGAAAUUUGUUGAAAGAAAAGAUAUGGGUGAUGUGCAGUCAAUACUACCACGGGAGAUUAUUUAGUCCUGUUGCACGCCGUCAAUGGUCAGAUGGUAGGAAGAUCAGAAGCCGAAAAUGUGUACAUGGGCAAAUGAUUUUCAAAGGAUCACGAUAACAUGAAUUGUUGUCGCAUUUGCUUAAAUGGUUUCAUAGAGAAUCCCAUUGACAACUAUGAGUUUUGGAUAUAUUGAGAGCUUAAUGCAGUCCUCAGAAAAGAAUUCAAGAAGCAAAGGGCACUGGCUAAAAAAGGCUCUGUAGGAUGGAAAGGUGUGGCACUGAGAAAGAAGAAAUAGAUUUGUUAUCAAAGAAGCUCUUAAUAAAAGUAAUUUCGCAUUUGGAGUCGUUGAUCAUCAACUAAAGUUGUGUCUUCACGUUCCCCAACCAACCUUUCAGAAACGAAAGACGAAAGGAUUACUAAGCGAUUCAAUCAUUUUAUCAAACUUUCAUAUUUGCUUAGAACUUGAAGCAUAAAAUUGCCUUAACAGGUUUGAUAGAGUGGAAUCUUUAAAAAAUCAAUCGAAAAUGGAAAGUGCUGGUUGCCAUCUCCAGAUGUUUCUGAACCAGAGCAUUUAGGGAGGACACGGGAUCUAAAGCAUAGCGAUGCAAUCUCUUUUGAAGAGAGAAAAAAUAACCAUAUAUUGUUUUUCAGAUAUGAAAGUAGGCACGACAAAAACGUUGAUAUGGAAGCUGUUCAUAUGUUUAGAUAGAUCCGCAUAAGUUUAAUCUCUUGAUAUAAGUUGAUGAGCUAUCUAAUACAUGCAUAAACUCAUUAAUAUUGUAUGAAUUAUUAUAAUGCAAAAAUUCUGGUAGUCGUGAUUGCUAAUUUAUUGCUUGACUCGACAGGAUCAAAAGGAAGAGCUCAAGAUGCAGAGAAGAGUUGGAGGAAUGUGAGGCGCAAAAUGGAAGUGAUAAAGAGAAACUUAUCGAUGAGAAACAGAAGGUGCGGGCACUUCAGUUAGCGGGACAAUGCCGUUAAUGUAAGGAGAAUUCAACUCAAACUAUUGCUGCCAUGAUGGUCUCAGUGUGGUAUUUACCAUAGUACUUGGGCAUAAAGUUGCUUGGUUUCCCUUUAUCGCAGCUUUAUUUGUUCGUGAACUAUGAACCUUACUUGCAAUGUUGCAACUUGUGUUACUUAUCCGAAUCAAGAUUUGUACAAUGUGUUAAAUGUAAGAAUGAGCUGUCUGUUUAA
Molecule: long non-coding RNA, 2229 nt
Organism: Papaver somniferum (opium poppy)
Lineage: Eukaryota; Viridiplantae; Streptophyta; Magnoliopsida; Ranunculales; Papaveraceae
Exons: 12
Source: RefSeq, a predicted model, not a curated record